RNAcentral lists this ribosomal RNA (492 nucleotides) under uncultured bacterium. RNAcentral describes it as "partial 16S ribosomal RNA". It matches the Rfam family "Bacterial small subunit ribosomal RNA", at positions 31 to 507 of the family's 1533-position model. The record is from RNAcentral.
AGGGAACGCGGGCGGUAGGCCUAACACAGGCAAGUCGAACGGCAGCACAGUAAGAGCUUGCUCUUACGGGUGGCGAGUGGCGGACGGGUGAGGAAUACAUCGGAAUCUACUUUUUCGUGGGGGAUAACGUAGGGAAACUUACGCUAAUACCGCAUACGACCUACGGGUGAAAGCAGGGGAUCUUCGGACCUUGCGCGAUUGAAUGAGCCGAUGUCGGAUUAGCUAGUUGGCGGGGUAAAGGCCCACCAAGGCGACGAUCCGUAGCUGGUCUGAGAGGAUGCUCAGCCACACUGGAACUGAGACACGGUCCAGACUCCUACGGGAGGCAGCAGUGGGGAAUAUUGGACAAUGGGCGCAAGCCUGAUCCAGCCAUACCGCGUGGGUGAAGAAGGCCUUCGGGUUGUAAAGCCCUUUUGUUGGGAAAGAAAAGCAGCAGGUUAAUACCCCGCUGUUCUGACGGUACCCAAAGAAUAAGCACCAACUCACUUCGUC